UACGGAGGGUGCAAGCGUUAUCCGGAUUCACUGGGCUUAAAGGGUGCGUAGGCGGGCAAGUAAGUCAGUGGUGAAAUCUCUGGGCUUAACCCGGAAACUGCCAUUGAUACUAUUUGUCUUGAAUACUGUGGAGGUCAGCGGAAUAUGUCAUGUAGCGGUGAAAUGCUUAGAUAUGACAUAGAACACCAAUUGCGAAGGCAGCUGGCUACACAAAUAUUGACGCUGAGGCACGAAAGCGUGGGGAGCAAACAGG
Molecule: ribosomal RNA, 253 nt
Filed under: uncultured bacterium
Lineage: Bacteria
Description: partial 16S ribosomal RNA
Rfam family: Bacterial small subunit ribosomal RNA
Source: RNAcentral